RNAcentral lists this transfer RNA (78 nucleotides) under Candidatus Bathyarchaeota archaeon. RNAcentral's name for it is "tRNA-Arg". It matches the Rfam family "tRNA". Rfam says of the family: Transfer RNA (tRNA) molecules are approximately 80 nucleotides in length. Lineage: Archaea; Thermoproteati; Candidatus Bathyarchaeota. RNAcentral also lists the same sequence under 1 other name. The record is from RNAcentral.
GGGCCCGUCGCCUAGUCAGGAUAGGGCGUCGGCCUCCUAAGCCGAUGGUCGAGGGUUCAAAUCCCCCCGGGCCCGCCA